GAUGAAGAACGCAGCGAAAUGCGAUAAGUAAUGUGAAUUGCAGAAUUCAGUGAAUCAUCGAAUCUUUGAACGCACAUUGCGCCCGCCAGUAUUCUGGCGGGCAUGCCUGUCCGAGCGUCAUUUCAACCCUCGAACCCCUCCGGGGGGUCGGCGUUGGGGAUCGGCCCUGCCUUUGGCGGUGGCCGUCUCCGAAAUACAGUGGCGGUCUCGCCACAGCCUCUCCUGCGCAGUAGUUUGCACACUCGCAUCGGGAGCGCGGCGCGUCCACAGCCGUUAAACACCCAACUUCUGAAAUGUUGACCUCGGAUCAGGUAGGAAUACCCGCUGAACUUAAGCAUAUCAAUAAGCGGAGGA
This 354-nucleotide unclassified non-coding RNA is filed under the name soil metagenome. Its description in RNAcentral is "partial contains 5.8S ribosomal RNA, internal transcribed spacer 2, and large subunit ribosomal RNA". The stretch from base 1 to 120 matches the Rfam family "5.8S ribosomal RNA", at positions 35 to 154 of the family's 154-position model. The record is from RNAcentral.